Molecule: long non-coding RNA, 757 nt
Filed under: Anas platyrhynchos platyrhynchos (common mallard)
Lineage: Eukaryota; Metazoa; Chordata; Aves; Anseriformes; Anatidae
Description: lncRNA (ENSAPLG00000028783.1)
Source: RNAcentral
GGCUUUCCCCGGGGCGGGGCCGUGCGUGCUGGGAGGCGCGGGUUGCUGCUGGCGAUAUGAGAAAAGCUCUUUACAGAGAGAUGGAGAAGGAAUUAGUUAUACCUCUGCCUCAUCCUGUGAGACCAGAAGACAUGGAGUAAAUGGAAAUUGCGAUUCUCAGGAGACGCACUAAGAGUCUUGGGUUCCUUUUCUGCCUUCCCCCUAAGGCCUUGGCGCAUGUUCACACUGCUUCUGUUAUUGAGAAAAUGGUUUGGGAAGAUGUCUGCCGUUUCUCAGGAUUUUCUGCCAUUGCCUGCUGGCAGAAAAAAUCAGUAAUGCGGGUGGAGCCAUGUAGGACUUCCCUGAGGUAAGCCUUCAACGGACAGGGACCCCUAAACUCGUGCACCAAGCAUUCAAGACAAAUGUCUGUGGCACAAAGAUCAAGGACGACUUCUCAGAGGUAAGCAGCUUUCCCUUUGUUUCCCCAUCCUCUCAGGAGCCGUCUUUACUAUCGUUGUACACACUUCAGGCUCACAACACUCGUUUUCUCCUCUAUUUAGUAUUCCUAGUCCCUGCCUGGUGGUGGGUUGAAGUCUACGGGUUGAUGUGUUUCCAAGUGAAAAGAGAUAAGUACAUCUAUUUAAGGUGACAUCUAGUAGGAUCAUUUAAAGUAAAUUAAUCUAUAUAGUAGUAGGUGCCUUUAUUGCAUGCAGCUCUUCUUCAGGUGAGUAAUUGUGGAGGAAUCGUUAAGUGAGGCGGGACAUGUGAAUGUUGAGCA